GCCUUCUUAGCUCAGUGGUAGAGCCGUGGCUUUUAACCACGUGGCCGUGUUCGAUCCCCACAGACAGCG
This 69-nucleotide transfer RNA is filed under the name Brachypodium distachyon (stiff brome). It matches the Rfam family "tRNA". Rfam says of the family: Transfer RNA (tRNA) molecules are approximately 80 nucleotides in length. The record is from Rfam by way of RNAcentral. Lineage: Eukaryota; Viridiplantae; Streptophyta; Magnoliopsida; Poales; Poaceae.